Ictidomys tridecemlineatus (thirteen-lined ground squirrel) is the source of this 69-nucleotide non-coding RNA. Lineage: Eukaryota; Metazoa; Chordata; Mammalia; Rodentia; Sciuridae. The record is from Rfam.
GGGGUUGUGGCUCAGUGGUAGAGUGCUUGCCUAGCAUGCAUGAGGCAUGAGGUUUGAUCCCCAGCACCA